GCGAGCGACUCGAGGUCCUCCGUGAGAGUGUCGUACGCUGGCGUUCUUUAUGGAUGAUGAAUAUCGAGUUUGCGCUUCUGUUUCGUUAUGAAGACAAACACGUGGUUCCGCGUCUGUGCGUUGCUGAAGAUGAAGCAACUUGGAUCGUUGCGUUGCAAGGAAGAUGAUACUCUGAUGCAUGCGAAGAAGAUGAUACUCUGAUGCGUGCAAAGAAGGUGAUACUCCGAUGCGUGAGGAGAAGAUGAUACUUUGAUGCUUGCGAAGAAGGUAAUACUUCGAUGCGUGCGAAGAAGGUUAUACUCCGAUGCAUGCGAAGAAUAUGAUGGCCGUGAUUCUGGAAAAAGAAAACUAGAGGCGACCCUAUUUCCUUGCUCAUUCUAGUAUUUAUAGACUUGUGAAGGUUGCAUUUGGGUGAGUUUGUAAGCUGCAUUUUGCUUCUACAAUGUCGUUUCCGUUGUUCGCUUAUUGUGUUAUGUGUUUUGGAUUCAGUUGGCUUGUGUGCAAUUUCAAUUUCCUGCGUUUUGGUUAUUUAAGUUGUUGUUACUACUGUGUUUUAUUCUGCUGUAGUUUCAUUUGUUUCCAUUUACUCAUGUGUGGAUUGCUGUUUACAGCCUGGCUUGCGUUGUGGUGCUGCAUCAUUUUGGAUUUUACGUAUUUGGACUUGCAUUUCA
Molecule: long non-coding RNA, 671 nt
Filed under: Lathyrus oleraceus (garden pea)
Lineage: Eukaryota; Viridiplantae; Streptophyta; Magnoliopsida; Fabales; Fabaceae
Description: Pisum sativum (pea) long non-coding RNA (PSAT_LNC002953)
Source: RNAcentral